UGGGGGAUAUUGCACAAUGGGCGAAAGCCUGAUGCAGCGACGCCGCGUGGGGGAUGAAGGCCUUCGGGUUGUAAACUUCUUUUGCUCUGAACAAGGCAUGCUAAUGGGUGUGUUGAGUGUAGGGGUUGAUUAGCGCCGGCUAACUACGUGCCAGCAGCCGCGGUAAUACGUAGGGCGCGAGCGUUGUCCGGAAUUAUUGGGCGUAAAGGGCUUGUAGGUGGCUGGUUGCGUCUGUCGUGAAAGCUCAUGGCUUAACUGUGGGUUUGCGGUGGGUACGGGCUGGCUUGAGUGCAGUGGGGGAGGCUGGAAUUCCUGGUGUAGCGGUGGAAUGCGCAGAUAUCAGGAGGAAUACCGGUGGCGAAGGCGGGUCUCUGGGCUGUUACUGACACUGAGGAGCGAAAGCAUGGGGAGCGAACAGG
RNAcentral lists this ribosomal RNA (419 nucleotides) under bacterium. RNAcentral describes it as "partial 16S ribosomal RNA". It matches the Rfam family "Bacterial small subunit ribosomal RNA", at positions 355 to 776 of the family's 1533-position model. The record is from RNAcentral.